Molecule: ribosomal RNA, 560 nt
Filed under: Taciturna lyndonestesi
Lineage: Eukaryota; Metazoa; Arthropoda; Insecta; Orthoptera; Gryllidae
Description: bacterial SSU rRNA
Rfam family: Eukaryotic small subunit ribosomal RNA
Source: RNAcentral
UCAUAUGCUUGUCUCAAAGAUUAAGCCAUGCAUGUCUAAGUGCAAACCGCAUUAAGGUGAAACCGCGAAUGGCUCAUUAAAUCAGUUAUGGUUCCUUGGAUAUAACAAACCGACUUGGAUAACUGUGGCAAUUCUAGAGCUAAUACAUGCUACGUGGGUCCCGACCGGAAACGGGAAGGACGCUUUUAUUAGAUCAAGACCAAUCGGUCGGCUCGCACCGUACCGCAUAUCUUGGUGACUCUGAAUAACUUUGGGCUGAUCGCACGGUCUCGCACCGGCGACGCCUCCUUCAAAUGUCUGCCUUAUCAACUGUCGAUGGUAGGUUCUGCGCCUACCAUGGUUGUAACGGGUAACGGGGAAUCAGGGUUCGAUUCCGGAGAGGGAGCCUGAGAAACGGCUACCACAUCCAAGGAAGGCAGCAGGCGCGCAAAUUACCCACUCCCGGCACGGGGAGGUAGUGACGAAAAAUAACGAUACGGGACUCAUCCGAGGCCCCGUAAUCGGAAUGAGAACACUUUAAAUCCUUUAACGAGUAUCCAUUGGAGGGCAAGUCUGGUGCC